RNAcentral lists this small RNA (261 nucleotides) under Arabidopsis thaliana (thale cress). Its description in RNAcentral is "ATSL207670". The record is from RNAcentral. Lineage: Eukaryota; Viridiplantae; Streptophyta; Magnoliopsida; Brassicales; Brassicaceae.
GGUUAUACCUUUGCUUGUGUGUAUAGCUCGUACAUGGGAGGAUCGCCUAACUAAGUAUUUAUGAUAAUACUUACGCAUCUCAUUUGUAUUGUUGAUGCAUGUAAUGAUAAAGUGUGAUCGUGGAAUCAUGGCAAGCAAGAGAGGAUGAUUUAGUAACUCGUUUGGUAUAUUUUUGUGUUUUGGUUAUUGGAACCCGGUUAGGAUUGUGUUAGGAUUGUUGGUCAUUCUUGGUUAUGUUGGUUGAAUUAUUUAUUUAUUCAU